This 404-nucleotide ribosomal RNA is filed under the name bacterium. RNAcentral's name for it is "partial 16S ribosomal RNA". It matches the Rfam family "Bacterial small subunit ribosomal RNA", at positions 355 to 777 of the family's 1533-position model. The record is from RNAcentral.
UGGGGAAUAUUGCACAAUGGAGGGAACUCUGAUGCAGCGACGCCGCGUGAACGAAGAAGGCUUUCGAGUCGUAAAGUUCUUUUAUAUGGGAAGAUAAUGACGGUACCAUAAGAAAAAGCCCCGGCUAACUACGUGCCAGCAGCCGCGGUAAUACGUAGGGGGCUAGCGUUGUCCGGAAUCACUGGGCGUAAAGGGUUCGCAGGCGGAAAUGCAAGUCAGGUGUAAAAGGCAGUAGCUUAACUACUGUAAGCAUUUGAAACUGCAUAUCUUGAGAAGAGUAUAGGUAAGUGGAAUUUUUAGUGUAGCGGUGAAAUGCGUAGAUAUUAAAAAGAAUACAGGUGGCGAAGGCGGCUGACUGGGCUCAUUCUGACGCUGAGGAACGAAAGCGUGGGUAGCAAACAGGA